Non-coding RNA from Phalacrocorax carbo (great cormorant), 343 nucleotides. The record is from RefSeq and is a predicted model, not a curated record. Lineage: Eukaryota; Metazoa; Chordata; Aves; Suliformes; Phalacrocoracidae.
UACUUCAGACAUAGCCUGGAUGUGACAGGACCCAAGGCAGUCUCCAUCCUUGCUGAGAUACCAACUGAUAGGGAAGAAGAGAGAGAAAGCAAAUGUGACACAAAUAAGAUUAUCCUUCUGAAGAUAAAUUAUAAAGCAGAAAAAUAAGAAUAGACGGUUUUCCUUCAAACUGCUACAAAAAUUCCACUGCUCUGGGUUUUCAAGAUAAAAGCUGAAAUACAGGUGAACACGCCCAAAGGUACCCGUGCCUGAAAAGUUGAAGAAGAAAUGCCAACUUGUUGUUGAAAAAAAAAAAAAAAAAAGCAAAGGUAAUUUACUAAAUUCAAAACCUACCGGAACUCAA